RNAcentral lists this ribosomal RNA (194 nucleotides) under uncultured Spirochaetaceae bacterium. RNAcentral's name for it is "partial 16S ribosomal RNA". It matches the Rfam family "Bacterial small subunit ribosomal RNA", at positions 338 to 524 of the family's 1533-position model. Lineage: Bacteria; Pseudomonadati; Spirochaetota; Spirochaetia; Spirochaetales; Spirochaetaceae. The record is from RNAcentral.
CCUACGGGAGGCAGCAGCUAAGAAUAUUCCGCAAUGGACGAAAGUCUGACGGAGCGACGCCGCGUGGAUGACGAAGGCCGAAAGGUUGUAAAGUCCUUUUGUUGGGGAAGAAUAACCAUGGGAGGGAAUGCCCGUGGGAUGACAUGAACCGACGAAUAAGCCCCGGCUAACUACGUGCCAGCAGCCGCGGUAAU